Molecule: long non-coding RNA, 4095 nt
Organism: Amphiprion ocellaris (clown anemonefish)
Lineage: Eukaryota; Metazoa; Chordata; Actinopteri; Pomacentridae
Exons: 3
Source: RefSeq, a predicted model, not a curated record
AGAUCUUAUUGUCAUUGUACAUGAAAUUAUCUGCAAACCAGCAAAGUGCAUCAGUCUGAGGUAUCUAAAAAUAAAUAAGUAAAGAAAAAUGCUUCUAAAGCCAAUAAUAAACAGAAUAUUUUGAGGGAAUAUUCUAAAAAGGAAAGAAAAGCUCCAUUCUCACUCCUCUCAGGAUAAACUGUCAUUAAAAUUGACUUUAAAUUUAGCUUCAACAUGAGAUAAAAACAUUUACUUUCAUUACUGAUGUCAAGUUUUAAUAAAGUUCAUGCUACUUUUAUAAAAUGAUGAAAGUGAAUAAAUUGUAUUUCUGUGAUCUGUGUUUGAUUUCUGUCUUUUCUCCUGUCAUCCAGAUGUUCAGAGGGAGAUGAUGCCACAUCUGGUCCAGCCGAUGGAAGGUCUUGAAGUUCUCUGACUGGCCUCGACUGAAGAUGGUCGUCUCACUGGAUUUAAGGUUCAGAUGCUCAGUAACAAACUCCACCAAUGAGCCAACAGGGAAGCUUUAGGUUUAUUAAAUGUUGCUAUGAAGGUAUCGCUGUUUUUCUUUGUGAAUGCAAUGUGCUCCAACUGAAACUUGAAUUAGAACUUAGAAGUAAAUCCUUCCAUCUGAAAGGAUUUAGUUGCAUUAAUAACCUCAUAACAUUCUAAUUUUUAUUCCCGUCUUGGUUGAAAAUAGAAUCUCUGUAUUGAUUCAGGUAAAAACUGAACUUCACAGCAUGUUGAAGCAAAACAACCAGAUGAAAACUGUGAUGGUGUUGGAUUGUCAGACCGUAAUGUUGCAGCUCAAAGCAGCUUUUCUAUCUCAGUUCAUUCUGACAUUCAGCUAUGAAUCAACACAGCAGAUGGUGAUCCAUGCUGUGGAAGUCUCACAUCUCCUGAUUUAAUGGAGCUGCUUUGCACUUUUUACACUGUUUAUUCACCAACACUUUAUUUAAUAAAAGUCCCAUCUAGUUUUUAUGAGGAAUGUGAUGUUUUAAUUUCUCUGUGAAUAACUGCAGUCUAAUGCAACAGCUGGAGUUGUAACAUCUGUCCUGAUAUUGAUCAUGAAGUAUUGAUCAGAAUACUUAUGGUCAGCAGUCAUCCCUGAAGUUUUACAUUAAAAUCUUUACUUGUGUUGUGAACUUUGGUAAGAAGCAGAAACGUUAGCGUUGCCAUGGAUACAUGAGUGUUAAAUUCUGUCCAUGUUUCCAUUUUGGGAAAUUCAGUCCAGUUCCAGAAUGUGGAGGAAUUUAGUCUCAAUCACAGACAACAAAUAUUAUCUGAAAGUCGGGUUAUUGUUGUUUAUCAGCACAAUACAAAAAGAUUAAUGUUAGAAAUAUUCCAGUUAAGACUCUAGAAUAUCAUGAUUUAUGUAAAUUUACCUCAAUAAUAUGAAUGUUCAGGUUAAGAUUGUACAGUGAUAUUUAUUAUGUAAGUUUAGCUGAUUAAAGUUUAUGACUCUGCACUAAAAUAUUAUUUAAAUUGACAUCAUUAUUAUAAUAUUUAGGGUCAGACCCUACAGUAUUGAGAUUAAGAAAUCAAAUAUUCUAUAAAAUGUAAAUACACUGAACUCAUUUGGAUAUAUUUAAGUGAGACUCUACAAUAUUAUUUGACACAAAUCUAUCUAAAUCAAAAUUUUAAUAAUUUUCACGCCAAACAUUUACUGGACUGAUUUAAACAUUAAAAUCACUCCUUUCUAAUCCUCUGCUGUACGUUCAAACCUGAGGCCUUAAAUAGAAACACACAAGUAUCUGAUUGAAGGAACUUCUGCAGAGUCCUGGUUCCAGAACAUGAUGAUAGAAUUAUAGACAAACUUUAACAAAAGCUGCCUGAGAGUUUACAGGUUUUUAUGUUAGAUUUCUUCAGUAAUUUAAUGAGCGUUAUCAGCAAAAAUCAAGUGUUCAUUUGAUGAACUUCAUUUCCUAAAACAUCCAGAAUUGGAGCUCAUAUCUUUGGCAGCUGUAAAGUUUCUGCUCCUUCAAAGUUCACAACACAAUGAAUGAAUUCCUAAAACACUCUCAAUGCUGGAGAGCGUUUGUGAUGCUGAAGCAGUGACCAGUUUUUCUGUUUCUUCUCUGGAGAUGCACAAUGAGGGACGUCUGCAGAGACUGAGAAAGAGUCUCACCACAUCCUGACAUGAGGAAAAAGACUUUAUUGAAGACUACAAUGAGAAAAACUAUCAGACAGCAGACGGCUGCAUUCAAGUCUGUAGCUGCUGAAUUCAUGGAUGAAUCAUCUGGCACUAGAGAGGAAGACCAUCAAACAUCCACGUCAGCUGAUGGAGGUCCAAGAGUCUCACCCAACAACCAACCUACAGAGUGAAGACCUCAAAUCUGAUUGGACGGCCUCCUAUUCAGCCACAUUUUAGGCUGUUAGAUUGUUCCAGAUAAGACAAGUACAAGAUUCUUCAGAGCCGUUCUACCACGAGCCUGACAGGAAGAACUCCAACAGCUACUGAAUGUUCCUGUGGUCCCCUCAAGGCUACAGGAGGAGUCCUACGAGGACGAGCCGGUCCACCUGAUGGAGGCCAGUCGCUGCAGGUUCAAAGCCAACACCGACUACGUGGACUUCUACUGGACCACACGGAGGCCUUCAAACCAGACCAACAAGUUCAGCGACUCCCCGACUCGUGGGUCUGAGGACGCCACCGAGCCUCGGUCCAGCCGGCCUCCUGUCUGUGGGUGUUUGAGUGCUGAGAGGUUUGUGGAUGUAUGUGAACGUGUCUGUGUUGAAACAGCAGCUUUUGACUCACUAACGCCAGGAAAAACCAAGAGCUCCUUUAUUUGUGACUUCCACUAAAAAAACUGAUGAAAAUAAGUUUGCCAGGGUUCUGACUGAUGACAGAUUAUUAAAUAAUGAAAAUAAUCAUUUAAAUAUUCCUUUAAACAAUCCUUUUAGGUCUACAUUUCCUUUACACUGACUUCUUGGUAUAUGUACAAGUAUUUUGGGUGGAAUAUACCAUUAAGCCUAAUGUUCAAGGAUUUUUCUGGGAAUAUACCAUUAAACCAACCUUUUAGGUAAAUGUUCCAGGAUGUUGGGUAGAAUAUACCAUCAGAUAAACCUUUUAGGUCUAAAUUAGAAGAUUUUAGAGUAGAAUAUUACUCCAAACCAUCCUUUAGGUCUACAUUUAAGGUGGAAUACUCCUUUACACCAAGAUUUUUUGGUCUAGGAUUUUGGAUGGAAUACUCAGUUAAACCAACAUUUUAGGUGCAUGUCCAAGGAUUUUUGGUGGAAUGUUCCUUUAAGGUCGAUGUGUGAGGACCUUGUAGGUGGAAUACUUCCUGAAACCAACCUUUUAGGUCAACAUUCAAAGAUUUAAGGUGGAAUAUUCCUUUAAACCAACCUAAAUUUCAUGUUUUGAUUAAGUGUUUUAUCAAGUGAGAAACCUCAAUCCAGACUCCUCAUAAUGACGUUUGAGAUUUAUGCUGCUGUUAUUUGUUUAGUCCAGACUAAAUGACAGAAAUCCACAACUGUAAUUUUAUUUCAGGACUCGGUUAUUAAAUGCCAAAACAAUCCAUGUGACUCUAAAAACUCAACAGCUGUACAAACUCUAAGAUUAAACUCUCCACAAGGAUCCAAAAUAAGUUGGACUUCUACAUGAGAGCUUUAAUUAUUCUUCAUCUACUUCCUGAAAAGUUUGGUCAAUAAAAGACAAAAACUAGUAUUUUCAGCUGAACUAAAGACAGACUUUGUGAUUUUUCUGCUCACAUGUUGUGUUGUUGUAAACUUACUCUUUCAAAUAAAUAGCCGCCUAACCCCCUGGAAACCAGCGUUUGUCCUGUUUUUGUGUUGCUUCCUCAGCGACCCUAGACAGCCGGGUCGUAAUGUUUUUUGAGCAACACACCAUACUAUGACGUUUUUACAAUGAUGGUUCUACUAUGGAACCAGUUUGACAUGUUCAGGCGUUCUUUGUGUGAAAACUCAGAGAUUUCAGGUAUCAGAAGGUGGUUUUCAACUUUCUUUGUUAACUUUCUGCUUCAACUUUAAACUAAAUUUCCUUCACUAACCCAGCCCUCUGGACUUCCAGUAAGCUGUGUUCCUAUUGGCUGUCCAGGUGGCUGCUUGGUGUUAUCAGGAACACCUGAGCAGCUCAGUGUCUUCCUGCUUUAUUUGGCAACA